CGUAGCAAUACGUGGCAUAUGGCUCAGUAACACGUAGUCAACAUGCCCAGGGGACGUGGAUAACCUCGGGAAACUGAGGAUAAACCGCGAUAGGUCAUAAUAUCUGGAAUGAUUUCUGGCUAAAAUCUAUAUGGCCCCUGGAUUGGACUGCGGCCGAUCAGGCUGUUGGUGAGGUAAUGGCCCACCAAACCUAAAACCGGUACGGGCUCUGAGAGGAGAAGCCCGGAGAUGGGCACUGAGACAAGGGCCCAGGCCCUAUGGGGCGCAGCAGGCGCGAAAACUCUGCAAUAAGCGAAAGCUUGACAGGGUUAUUCUGAGUGAUUUCCGCUAAGGAAAUCUUUUGGCACCUCUAAAAAUGGUGCAGAAUAAGGGGUGGGCAAGCCUGGUGUCAGCCGCCGCGGUAAUACCAGCACCCCGAGUGGUCGGGACGAUUAUUGGGCCUAAAGCAUCCGUAGCCGGUUCUACAAGUCUUCCGUUAAAUCCACCUGCUUAACAGAUGGGCUGCGGAGGAUACUAUGGAGCUAGGAGGCGGGAGAGGCAAGCGGUACUUAGUGGGUAGGGGUAAAAUCCGUUGAUCCAUUGAAGACCACCAGUGGCGAAGGCGGCUUGCCAGAACGCACUCGACGGUGAGGGAUGAAAGCUGGGGGA
RNAcentral lists this ribosomal RNA (648 nucleotides) under uncultured Nitrososphaerota archaeon. RNAcentral describes it as "bacterial SSU rRNA". It matches the Rfam family "Archaeal small subunit ribosomal RNA", at positions 63 to 718 of the family's 1478-position model. The record is from RNAcentral. Lineage: Archaea; Thermoproteati; Nitrososphaerota.